This 359-nucleotide small RNA is filed under the name Vigna angularis var. angularis. RNAcentral describes it as "Non-protein coding transcript". The record is from RNAcentral. Lineage: Eukaryota; Viridiplantae; Streptophyta; Magnoliopsida; Fabales; Fabaceae.
CAGGUUAUUGUGAUGGCUGAAGGGGAAAAUAUUGAGCUUAAAUUUCGCAUAUAUGAUGGAACUGAUAUAGCACAAAAUUUCUAUUCAUCAUCAACAACCAUUGCUACCCUCAAGCAAAAGCUAAUUGCUGAGUGGCCUCAAGGUAAAACAAUUACACCAAAGGUAGUAAGUGACCUAAAACUCAUACAUGCCGGUAAAAUUUUGGAAAACAACAAAACUCUGGCUGAUUCCAGAAUAACAUUCAGUGACAUCCCUGGAGGUUUUGUUAACAUGCAUGUUGUAGUACAACCUCGAACGACUAAAAAGAAAACAGAAAAGAACCAUGAGGAGAAACAAAAGACAAAUUCAUGUUCAUGCAC